Molecule: long non-coding RNA, 260 nt
Filed under: Salvia miltiorrhiza (redroot sage)
Lineage: Eukaryota; Viridiplantae; Streptophyta; Magnoliopsida; Lamiales; Lamiaceae
Description: long non-coding RNA (SMIL_LNC010847)
Source: RNAcentral
AUACUCCCUCCGAUUUUUAUUAAGUGUCCCCAGCCGUCAAAAUACACAUACCAAUAAAAUAAGAUAUUUUACAGUUGUAACCUUAGUAAUUGUCAUAAUAAAUGCAUUUAUACAACUAAUUAUUACAUUCAUACAAGUAUUAAAUAAGGAUAAAAUAGGAAAAGUGUCAUAAAUAUACUCUCAAAUUUUGAAAUGGGACACUUAUUGAGAAACAAAAAAAUGAGCUAAAUGGGACACUUAUAAAAAAUCGGAGGGAGUAA